Oryctolagus cuniculus (rabbit) is the source of this 129-nucleotide small nucleolar RNA. The record is from Ensembl. NCBI's taxonomy places the organism in Eukaryota, Metazoa, Chordata, Mammalia, Lagomorpha, Leporidae.
AUCCAGGCUAUAGUCACACCUGGAUAUUGGCUAUUGCCUUAGUGUGCUACAGUUCUGGAAGAGUAACUGCUGACCUUAUUCACUGGCUGCGGGCCUCGUGGCACAGCCAGUCACCAGGUAGUGACAUAU